This 517-nucleotide ribosomal RNA is filed under the name uncultured bacterium. RNAcentral describes it as "bacterial SSU rRNA". It matches the Rfam family "Bacterial small subunit ribosomal RNA", at positions 992 to 1509 of the family's 1533-position model. The record is from RNAcentral.
AGAACUUAGCAGAGAUGCUUUGGUGCCUUCGGGAACUCUGAGACAGGUGCUGCAUGGCUGUCGUCAGCUCGUGUUGUGAAAUGUUGGGUUAAGUCCCGCAACGAGCGCAACCCUUAUCCUUUGUUGCCAGCGGUCCGGCCGGGAACUCAAAGGAGACUGCCAGUGAUAAACUGGAGGAAGGUGGGGAUGACGUCAAGUCAUCAUGGCCCUUACGAGUAGGGCUACACACGUGCUACAAUGGCGCAUACAAAGAGAAGCGACCUCGCGAGAGCAAGCGGACCUCAUAAAGUGCGUCGUAGUCCGGAUUGGAGUCUGCAACUCGACUCCAUGAAGUCGGAAUCGCUAGUAAUCGUGGAUCAGAAUGCCACGGUGAAUACGUUCCCGGGCCUUGUACACACCGCCCGUCACACCAUGGGAGUGGGUUGCAAAAGAAGUAGGUAGCUUAACCUUCGGGAGGGCGCCUACCACUUUGUGAUUCAUGACUGGGGUGAAGUCGUAACAAGGUAGGCGUAGUGCU